RNAcentral lists this ribosomal RNA (253 nucleotides) under uncultured bacterium. RNAcentral's name for it is "partial 16S ribosomal RNA". It matches the Rfam family "Bacterial small subunit ribosomal RNA", at positions 524 to 776 of the family's 1533-position model. The record is from RNAcentral.
UACGUAGGGUGCAAGCGUUAAUCGGAAUUACUGGGCGUAAAGCGUGCGCAGGCGGUUUUGUAAGUCUGUCGUGAAAGCCCCGGGCUCAACCUGGGAAUUGCGAUGGAGACUGCAAGGCUUGAAUUUGGCAGAGGGGGGUAGAAUUCCACGUGUAGCAGUGAAAUGCGUGGAGAUGUGGAGGAACACCGAUGGCGAAGGCAGCCCCCUGGGUCAAGAUUGACGCUCAUGCACGAAAGCGUGGGGAGCAAACAGG